Molecule: ribosomal RNA, 492 nt
Filed under: uncultured bacterium
Lineage: Bacteria
Description: partial 16S ribosomal RNA
Rfam family: Bacterial small subunit ribosomal RNA
Source: RNAcentral
AGUGAACGCUGGCGGUAGGCCUAACACAUGCAAGUCGAACGGCAGCACAGUAAGAGCUUGCUCUUACGGGUGGCGAGUGGCGGACGGGUGAGGAAUACAUUGGAAUCUACUUUUUCGUGGGGGAUAACGUAGGGAAACUUGCGCUAAUACCGCAUACGACCUACGGGUGAAAGCAGGGGAUCUUCGGACCUUGCGCGAUUGAAUGAGCCGAUGUCGGAUUAGCUAGUUGGCGGGGUAAAGGCCCACCAAGGCGACGAUCCGUAGCUGGUCUGAGAGGAUGAUCAGCCACACUGGAACUGAGACACGGUCCAGACUCCUACGGGAGGCAGCAGUGGGGAAUAUUGGACAAUGGGCGCAAGCCUGAUCCAGCCAUACCGCGUGGGUGAAGAAGGCCUUCGGGUUGUAAAGCCCUUUUGUUGGGAAAGAAAAGCAGCAGGUUAAUACGCCGCUGUUCUGACGGUACCCAAAGAAUAAGCACCGGCUAACUUCGUG